UGCCCCACAGUUCCCUGCCCGGGAACAAGGAGCUGGUAUCAGGCACACCCUCGAGCCCAUGACACCUUGCUUAGCCACACCCCCAAGGGAACUCAGCAGUGAUAGACAUUAAGCCAUAAGUGAAAACUUGACUUAGUUAAGGUUAAGAGGGCCGGUAAAACUCGUGCCAGCCACCGCGGUUAUACGAGAGACCCAAGUUGAUAGCCACCGGCGUAAAGCGUGGUUAAGUUAAAACUCAUACUAAAGUCAAACAUCUUCAAGACUGUUAUACGUAACCGAAGAUAGGAAGUCCAACCACGAAAGUGAUUUUACUUGAUCUGAACCCACGAAAGCUAAGGAACAAACUGGGAUUAGAUACCCCACUAUGCCUAGCCCUAAACAUUGAUAGUACUACACACCCACUAUCCGCCCGGGAACUACGAGCAAUAGCUUAAAACCCAAAGGACUUGGCGGUGCUUUAGAUCCACCUAGAGGAGCCUGUUCUAGAACCGAUAACCCCCGUUCAACCUCACCCUUCCUUGUUUAUCCCGCCUAUAUACCGCCGUCGUCAGCUUACCCUGUGAAGGUUGAAUAGUAAGCAAGACUGGUACAGGCCCAAAACGUCAGGUCGAGGUGUAGCGUAUGGAAGGGGAAGAAAUGGGCUACAUUCGCUACUACAGCGAACAACGAAAGAUGAACUGAAACAUCCAUCUGAAGGAGGAUUUAGUAGUAAGCAG
This 716-nucleotide ribosomal RNA is filed under the name Xeneretmus latifrons. RNAcentral's name for it is "partial 12S ribosomal RNA". It matches the Rfam family "Bacterial small subunit ribosomal RNA", at positions 327 to 1345 of the family's 1533-position model. Lineage: Eukaryota; Metazoa; Chordata; Actinopteri; Perciformes; Agonidae. The record is from RNAcentral.